Mycobacterium sp. 852013-51886_SCH5428379 is the source of this 104-nucleotide non-coding RNA. The record is from Rfam. NCBI's taxonomy places the organism in Bacteria, Bacillati, Actinomycetota, Actinomycetes, Mycobacteriales, Mycobacteriaceae.
UCCGGCCCGUGCAACGUGGCCUCUGUCCGAUCCGGGCCUGGCGUACUUCCCCGACGCCAGGACCGCGCACUCGGACAGGGACCUCGGUGCAGGGGCCCACACCC